Molecule: ribosomal RNA, 485 nt
Filed under: uncultured bacterium
Lineage: Bacteria
Description: bacterial SSU rRNA
Rfam family: Bacterial small subunit ribosomal RNA
Source: RNAcentral
GAUGAACGCUAGCGGCAGGCUUAAUACAUGCAAGACGAACGGUAACAUUUGUAGCAAUACGGAUGCUAGAGUGUCGUACGGGUGCGUAACACGUAUGCAACCUACCUUGUACAGGAGGAUAGCUCGGGGAAACUCGAAUUAACCCUCCAUGAUAUAAUGAGAAGGCAUCUUUUUAUUAUUAAAACUGAGGUGGUACAAGAUGGGCAUGCGACUGAUUAGUUAGUUGGCGGGGUAAUGGCCCACCAAGACGAUGAUCAGUAGGGGACCUGAGAGGGUGAUCCCCCACACUGGCACUGAGAUACGGGCCAGACUCCUACGGGAGGCAGCAGUAGGGAAUAUUGGACAAUGGGUGAGAGCCUGAUCCAGCCAUGCCGCGUGCAGGAAGAAGGCGUUAUGCGUUGUAAACUGCUUUUGCCAGGGGAUAAAAUAACUGUGCGCAGUUGAUUGAAGGUACCUGGUGAAUAAGCCACGGCUAACUACGUGCC